RNAcentral lists this ribosomal RNA (441 nucleotides) under uncultured bacterium. Its description in RNAcentral is "partial 16S ribosomal RNA". It matches the Rfam family "Bacterial small subunit ribosomal RNA", at positions 338 to 795 of the family's 1533-position model. The record is from RNAcentral.
CCUACGUGUGGCAGCAGUGGGGAAUAUUGGGCAAUGGGCGCAAGCCUGACCCAGCAACGCCGCGUGAAGGAUGAAGGUUUUCGGAUUGUAAACUUCUGUCGCGAGGGACGAAGAAUGACGGUACCUCGUAAUAAAUCCCCGGCUCACUACGUCCCAGCAGCCGCGGUAAUACGUAUGGGGCAAGCGUUGUCCGUAAAGACUGGGCGUAAAGGGAGAGUAGGCGGAUCAUUAAGUUAGAUGUGAAAUCCCGCGGCCUAACCGCGGAACUGCAGCUAAAACUGGCAAGAUGGAGUGCAGGAGAGGUGAGUGGAAUUCCUAGUGUAGCGGUGGAAUGCGUAGAUAUUAGGAGGAACACUAGAGGCGAAGGAGACUCACUGGACUGUAACUGACGCUGAGGCUCGAAAGCGUGGGGAGCAAACAGGAUUAGAUACCCUAGUAGUC